RNAcentral lists this ribosomal RNA (515 nucleotides) under uncultured bacterium. RNAcentral describes it as "bacterial SSU rRNA". It matches the Rfam family "Bacterial small subunit ribosomal RNA", at positions 25 to 518 of the family's 1533-position model. The record is from RNAcentral.
CAGGACGAACGCUGGCGGCGUGCCUAACACAUGCAAGUCGAACGGGGAUUUGUUUCGGCAGAAUCCUAGUGGCGAACGGGUGAGUAACGCGUAGGCAACCUGCCCUCCGGCCGGGGACAACACUCCGAAAGGGGUGCUAAUACCGGAUACGAAGUCUGUGCCGCAUGGUACGGAUUUGAAAGAUGGCCUCUAUUUAUAAGCUAUCGCCGGGGGAUGGGCCUGCGUCCGAUUAGCUGGUUGGUGGGUAACGGCCUACCAAGGCGACGAUCGGUAGCCGGUCUGAGAGGAUGAACGGCCACAUUGGGACUGAGACACGGCCCAGACUCCUACGGGAGGCAGCAGUGGGGAAUCUUCCGCAAUGGGCGCAAGCCUGACGGAGCAACGCCGCCGUGAGUGAGGAAGUUCUUCGGAACGUAAAGCUCUGUUGUUCCUGACGAACCUCCCUUCUAUCAACAACGGAGGGGACUGACGGUAGGGAACGAGGAAGCCACGGCUAACUACGUGCCAGCCGCCGC